Molecule: ribosomal RNA, 632 nt
Filed under: Methanosarcina sp. enrichment culture clone H11
Lineage: Archaea; Methanobacteriati; Methanobacteriota; Methanomicrobia; Methanosarcinales; Methanosarcinaceae
Description: bacterial SSU rRNA
Rfam family: Archaeal small subunit ribosomal RNA
Source: RNAcentral
UAUGUUCUUCGUGAACAUGGCGUACUGCUCAGUAACACGUGGAUAACCUGCCCUUGGGUCCGGCAUAACCCCGGGAAACUGGGGAUAAUUCCGGAUAACGCACAUAUGCUGGAAUGCUUUAUGCGUCAAAUGGAUUCGUCUGCCCAAGGAUGGGUCUGCGGCCUAUCAGGUAGUAGUGGGUGUAAUGUACCUACUAGCCGACGACGGGUACGGGUUGUGAGAGCAAGAGCCCGGAGAUGGAUUCUGAGACAUGAAUCCAGGCCCUACGGGGCGCAGCAGGCGCGAAAACUUUACAAUGCGGGAAACCGUGAUAAGGGGACACCGAGUGCCAGCAUCAUAUGCUGGCUGUCCGGGUGUGUAAAAUACACCUGUUAGCAAGGGCCGGGCAAGACCGGUGCCAGCCGCCGCGGUAACACCGGCGGCCCGAGUGGUGAUCGUGAUUAUUGGGUCUAAAGGGUCCGUAGCCGGUUUGGUCAGUCCUCCGGGAAAUCUGACGGCUUAACCGUUAGGCUUUCGGAGGAUACUGCCAGGCUUGGAACCGGGAGAGGUAAGAGGUACUACAGGGGUAGGAGUGAAAUCUUGUAAUCCCUGUGGGACCACCUGUGGCGAAGGCGUCUUACCAGAACGGGUUC